CCUACGGGAGGCAGCAGUGGGGAAUAUUGGACAAUGGGGGGAACCCUGAUCCAGCGACGCCGCGUGAGUGAAGAAGUAUUUCGGUAUGUAAAGCUCUAUCAGCAUGGAAGAAAGAAAUGACGUGACCUGACUAAGCAGCCUCGGCUAACUACGUGCCAGCAGCCGCGGUAAUACGGAGGAGGCAGGCGUUAUCCGGAUUUAUUGGGUGUAAAGGGAGCGUAGGCGGCUAUGCAAGUCUGAAGUGAAAGGCGGGGGCCCAACCGACGUACUGCUUUGGAAACUGUAUGGCUGGAGUGCAGGAGAGGUAGGUGGAAUUCCUAGUGUAGCGGUGAAAUGCGUAGAUAUUAGGAGGAACACCAGUGGCGAAGGCAGCUUACUGGACUGUAACUGACGUUGAGGCUCGAAAGCGUGGGGAGCAAACAGGAUUAGAUACCCCGGUAGUC
RNAcentral lists this ribosomal RNA (443 nucleotides) under uncultured bacterium. RNAcentral describes it as "partial 16S ribosomal RNA". It matches the Rfam family "Bacterial small subunit ribosomal RNA", at positions 338 to 795 of the family's 1533-position model. The record is from RNAcentral.